Molecule: RNA transcript, 11055 nt
Organism: Homo sapiens (human)
Lineage: Eukaryota; Metazoa; Chordata; Mammalia; Primates; Hominidae
Gene: DCTN5
Gene name: dynactin subunit 5
Exons: 7
Source: RefSeq, marked reviewed
GGAAGUAGCCGGAAUCUCUGAAAGACUGACCGACUGACUCUGACAGGAUCCGGGGCUGAGGGAAGGAGGCGGCGGCCAUGGAGUUGGGCGAGCUGCUCUACAACAAGUCUGAGUACAUCGAGACGGCAUCUGGGAACAAAGUCAGUCGCCAGUCAGUGUUGUGUGGAAGCCAGAACAUCGUUCUCAAUGGCAAGGCUGGAGUGCAAUGGCGCGAUCUCGGCUCACUGCAACCUCCGCCUCCCAGGUUCAAGCGAUUCUCCUGCCUCAGCCUCCCGAGUAGCUGGGAUUACUGCAGACCAUUGUGAUGAAUGACUGUAUUAUCCGAGGGGAUCUGGCAAAUGUAAGAGUUGGACGUCAUUGUGUUGUGAAAAGUCGUAGUGUCAUAAGGCCACCAUUCAAGAAGUUCAGCAAAGGUGUUGCAUUCUUUCCUUUACAUAUUGGAGACCAUGUCUUUAUUGAGGAAGAUUGUGUGGUCAACGCAGCACAGAUUGGUUCCUAUGUUCAUGUUGGGAAGAACUGUGUGAUUGGGCGCCGAUGUGUGUUGAAAGACUGCUGCAAAAUUCUUGACAACACAGUAUUACCUCCAGAAACUGUGGUUCCACCAUUCACUGUCUUCUCAGGCUGCCCAGGACUCUUCUCAGGGGAGCUCCCGGAGUGCACUCAGGAGCUGAUGAUUGACGUCACCAAGAGCUACUACCAGAAGUUUUUGCCCCUGACGCAAGUCUAGCAUCUCUGCCUCAUGUCUUGAAUCUGCUUGAGCUCUAAGAUGAACCUGGGGACAAAGUGAGCCAGUCAGCACCUACAAAGAGCUUUUGUGUCUUUGACAUCUACCACCCUCCUCCUUUUAAAAAAUUUCUUUAGAAUUUCUCAAUCUUCAAGGCUCUAAGUGCUUAAGAAUUCACUAACAGACAGACCAUCUGGAGGAGCUGUCUUCAAAUGCUGUGCUUACACCUUAUCUAUGAACAGUCACUUUGUACCAUUAUCUGUGGAACACAGAAUCAUCUGUUCCCAACACUCCAGCCCCUUGGUCCUGUGGAUGGCUGGAUCCCGCCUGAAACGGACCUGCAGAGCAGCAGCACCCUUCCGGUGUGGAGGCUAUGUAGCUGGUGCGCUGCUCACGGCCAUUCACUGCCCAUGCUGAGCGCCUCUCACACAGGUAAUGCCCAGCUUUUCUGCUGCUAACACAUUUGGCCAGUUGUUGCAGUUGCUCAUCAUCUUGGGAAAGGUGUUUGUGACUUUUCAGAGCCCAGAUUCCUGUUGUCUAUUAAAACUUGAAGGGAGGGGUGAAUAGUGUUUCUCUCUUCUUCCCAAAAUGACCUUAGCUGUCCUAGGAUAGUUAGUAAAAGACUUUUUAGCAUUUUGACCUAGGGCCUUUGGCUUUCACUAAAAGUGGGGACCUCAGUAUCCCAGAUUGUAAUUUUGCCAAGUGUUAGAUUUGAGUCUCUCAUGUGGAUGCAUUAGUCAGGUGGUUACUCCUUGCUUCAAGGUACUUACCUUAUUUCAUUGAAGACACCGCAUUUGUGAACUCUUGCUUCCUGGCCUAGAACCAUUCAGCCUACCCUGUAUUUGCCAUAAACUCCACAAUUCACACCAAAAUGUCUGUACUUAGAGCUAAUUCGCAUAUAUACAGGAAGGGCUCUUAGAAUCAGUUUGUGGGCACAGAGCCUCAGGAGUAAAUGAAGUUACUAGGGCUGUUCUUACCAUCUCCUUCUGGCCAAAUAGCACAACAUUUCCUCGUUCUGCUCUGACCUCUUAGCUUAGAAGGAAGAUUCAGAAGUGAGGGGCUAAGAAGGUUGUCCUUGCCUAAUGCUCUGAUCUGUAAGUGAAUAGGGCAGAACAGUUCAGCCUUGAGGUUAGAAUUUAGCAGGAGCUAUCCUGACUUAAUAUCCAGUUGUGGGGUUUGCAAAACAAAACAGCUGUAUGUAAUCAUUGCCACUAGUUCCAUCUAGAACUCCUUUCUAGUUUGUUAUUUUUAAAAUGUUUAUACAUAAAACCACCAAAAUACAUAGCUUCGACAAGAUGGAAGUUUAUUUCUCUCUCCCAUAACAGUGCAGUGAUAGUCAGCUGGUCCAGGCCAGGCAAGGGGCUGGUCCAUGAUGUCAUCAGGCACCCAGGUUCCUACUGUCUUGCCAUGUGGCCACAGUUAGCAACAAAGGAGGCUGUAAAUUUAGUUUCUACUUGGGCAGCCAAAACUCUGAGGAAGGAGAUUCUGCUAGUAAAAAGGAGUGGGGGAAGAAUGGCCAUUGGGAGACAACAAGCAGACUCAACCAGGCCUCUUUGUUGGCUUCCUUUCCUCCUGCUGCACAUGAGCCUUCGCCGUGCAUUUGGAGCCAUGACAGCUGAUAGCUCCAGACCUGCAUCCUCCUAGCUUGGGGGCUCUGAAUGAAAGGUUUCUUCCCUUCCAGUUCGAAUUUGGAAACUCCCAAAGUUCUCAAUGGUUUGUUGUGAGUUCCAUGUCCUCUUGGAUCAGUCACUGUGGCCAUGCAUGUUUGGCCACAUGAUUAAUCCAGUCUGGGUCAUGACCUUUUCUUCAUCCAAAACAAGGUGAUGGGAAGACAAAAACAAUAGCUACUACAAACAAUAGGAGUUUAUAAUUAUGUGCUGAUGUAUUCGAAGAUGUGUUGACAGUCGUGAGUGUGUAUCCUAGGAAAGGCGAGCUGGACUCUGUCUCCAUGGUGGCUCUCACCCCAGGGACCUAGGAACAGCCUGUCACCACACAAUUACUUUUAUAACCCUGGAGAUGAAAAUCUCCUUGUCCUCAAAAUACUUCCAGAAGAACAACCAGAUGGGAAGGACCUUGGUUGGGACUCUUUCCAGUUCACUUGGGGCAGAGGGAAUUUAAUGGCUCACGUAGCUGAAAAGGAUGGGCUAGAUUGGGCUUCAGGCUGCAUCCCAGGACUCCAAACAGGGAUCUGUCUCUUUGGCUCUCAGCUCUGCUUUCAUUUGAGUUGGCUUUAUUCUUGGGCUUCACAGUGUGGCCCCACAGCACCAGUUAUUGAUAAAAAGAGCUCCCCUUUGCUGACAGAACUGCUGGAUUUGGUUCUCAUUGGUCCAGACGAGGAAGGUAUCCAGCCUCAAGUCAUCAUUGUGGCCAGGAAGAUGGAAUACACCAAAUGGACAGGCCUGGCAUGUACCCACAGAGACUGAGAGUUGGUGCUGGUGGUUGUGGUGGCAGAUGAUAUUACCUGAAGAAGGGACGAAUGGGUGCUGGGCAGGACAAAGCAUCAGCUGUCCAGUUCAGGCCUCUCCUCUUUCCCUGGUGUCUUCAUUUUCCUCCGUCUCCCUGCUGUCCCUUACCCUCUGCCCAAUCUCUCAUUACUCCUGGUCUUGGGAGUUGCCUUCUGAGGAUACUCCACUGGGGGUACCUGAGCCUGGAUUAGAGGGCAGGGGGAGGAUAUUGCCUAGCCAAAGUGGGUGUUCAAUAAAGAACCAUUUGGAGAUGGUCUUCUGUCUGGAACUGCUUCCUUUUUGUUUUAUUAUUUUUCCCCAGAUGAGCUGACUGGGCCAUGGAACUGCAUCCUUAUGGUUCCCAUAGCACCUUACCGAGGCGCCCUUAUCAAUAGAGUUUUAGUUAUGUACCUGUGUUCUUGUCUGAACCCCUACUAACUGUGAGCUCCUGAGGAGUCAGGCCUGAGUCUGUGGGUCAUCUAGCACAUCCUUAAUAGAAUGAUUGCCUGGAUGUGACCACCCUCACCCCCAACCCUCACACACCCUGCCAGCAUGCCUCAGACCUUACCCCAGCUCAAGAUAAGUCUCAGAUUGCAGGAUACCUGCUGCAGGGAACAAAGGUGAAUGAUUGUCUUGUGAGCCUCCUGUUGACUGAUUCUGUUUUACAUGGCUGCACAGAGCCCUUGUGGUUAUUUGGGGUUGGGGUGGUGGCUUCUGUAUUAGUCACUUCUGCAUGAACCAUUUCACUCAGGAUCUGAGGCCACAGUUCCUUUCUUAGUCACUGAUACAUCUGGCAGACUUGAAAUUAAUCAGACAAACAUUGUUCAUAGUUAACAUAUCCUUGGAAGUUUCUCAGCUAUAAGGAAGAGGUCUUGGUGGCUAGGGAGGCCUUUCUCUGUAUCCUGUUCUAUCCAGUGAGAGCCUAGAGGGUGCUGCCCAGCCAUAUUCUGGCUAGCCUCAGCGGUUCUCCUGAAAAAAAAUUGGCAUCUGACAACCUGGAUGGUGACUAUAGGUAGUCAAAUCCAGCUGGCUGGUCUCCUGGGGGUUAGCUUCCAUGGAGCUGCAAGUCCCCUGAAAUGAUACUGGCAGUGUUGGGACAGCGUGUCCGAAGGCCUGGUUUUUUCAGAACUGGUCUCAGCAAAAUGUCUCGCCAACUUCUACAGUUCCCAUAAGUACAUGAUAACUGAAACACUUCUAGAGCCCCCCAGCAAUGGGCUUGUGCUUUUAGUAGAAUAUGUGCUUGCUUCCAUUUAGGGGUAAGAAGGUGGGCCCCUCACCAUAUGCUGCACAGAGAAGAGAGACACCAUCACUCAUUUAUUCAUUUAACAAGUGCUUUCCAAGCCACUACUAGGUGCCAAGCACUUCCUAGGUCCUGGGGAUACAGUGGAGACUAAGAUGGAGCCAGUUCUUUCUCAUAGGGAUCUCACAGCUUAGUGAGUGAGAAAGCCAAAGAGUCAAAAUACAGAGAGGGUCUGAGGGGCCCAUUUUGAGAGCCAUCAUAGUGGUGAGGAGUGUGAGUGCUAGAGUCAGGCUGAUCAAAUCCCAGCCUGCCAUUGGCUAGCCUUGUGACUUUGAGCAAGUUAUCUUACUUCGUGGAACCUCAGGUUUCUCAUCCAUAAAAUGGGGAAGUUGGAUAGGGUAUUAUGAUGAUUGAAAUGCAUUUAUACAUGUAAAGCAUAAGUACUGGCUCAGGGUGAGCACUCAAUAAACGGCAGUUUAUUAGGCACUUUUAUUAGGAAGUGAUACACCUUGAGCAAAACCCCUUAGAGUAUAAGGCAUAGCAUUCUUACAUAUUUUUAAAAUUUAAAAUAAAAUUUAAAACAUCUUGCCCUUUAUAAUCAGUCCGCCACAAACAAGAGAUGGAGAAAUCACCCUUCCUUGUUUUGUAUCUAUGGGGUGCAAACAUUUAAUCCUCCCAACUGUCAAAAAAGUGAGAGUUUCACAGCCUGUUUUACAGCAGAGGAAACUGAUAUUCAGAGAGGUUAAGUAAAUUUGCCCAAUGCCACACAUCUAAUAAAUGGCUGAGCUGGAAUCAAGGCCAGCUCUUACUUGGCUGCAAAAUCCAUGUUUUAUGCAGCUCCUCCACUAUCUUGGCCUCCAAGGCAGCUGGCUUUGAACACUACCCUUGCAGCCCAGUCAGCCAAUCCCUUGCUCUCCUGAAGCUUUUGCUGGUGGGCCAGCCCCACCUGCUUUCCUUGUGCACUCUGACUUGGACCCUGAAGUGAGAAGAGUUGGCACAGGACAUCUUACUUCCCUGAAAACAGUACCUGGACUUUUCUGUAUCUUCACAUCCAUUGGGCAUUGGGCAAAUGGGUCAUGCAGAUGAAAACCAUCCAAGAUAAGAGACAUGGGAGUGAAAUUCACACCCACUCUGGCUUUCAUACCAUGGGUCUGAACAUUAGCCCAUGGUGUUUCUUGGCCAUACUGACCUGUGCCAUUUCAGCUGCAUUCAUCUCAGUUGGUGUUGUCUGCUGGCUGCUCUUUCUGAUUUCCCACAGGAGCAGUAAGAACCUGAGGAAGAGUAGGGUCAGAGGAGUCUGGGAGAAUGAGGAAAUAUGAGAGCCCCAGGAACUGAAAAGGCCUGUGAGAGACUCUGAGCUUCCUGGGAACAGGUAUAGGUUCUUUUUAUUUCAAUAAUAACAGAAACAACUGUCAAAACCAUGUGCCUGUACUAUUUGGAGUGCUGUCCUUGCAGAAUCUCAUUAUAAGAACCUUAGGAAAUAGGCACAUCAUCUCCUGGAUAGAAUCCUAGGAAAUGGGCACUAUAAUGGGCACUUUAUCCCAUUUUAUAAACAUGGAAAUUGAGGCACAGAGAGAUUAAGUACUUUCCCAAGGUCAUACAGCUAGUGAUGGAGGAGCUAGCAUUUGAACCCGGAGUUUUUAGUCUAUUGAGUUUAACCGACAGAUCAUACUGUGUUUUGGUAGGGAGGGAGGGAGGAAGCAAGCAAGUGAACAAAUGAGUCUGGGAUUUAGGACUUGCCAGACAAACAAGGCCCAAGAGGCAAGUGUGCAGGUGGGUGUAGUUGGGAGUCAGCAGAGUUGGGUUGGAAUUCAAGCUUUGCCACCUGCUGGCUAUAAACCUUGGUUGGGUAAGUAACCCAAGGUAAAUGAGAUCAUCUCUGUAAAACUCUUAGCCUUGUGCCUGGCACAUAGUAAAUGCUUAAUAAGGGUUCACUGUUAGUAUUACUGUUACUGAUAACAUACAAAUAGAUUGUAUUAAUGGACCAUAAUUGCAACUGUAUAAAACAAAUUCCAUGUUUGGCCAGGCGCAGUGGCUCAAGCCUGUAAUCCCAUCACUUCGGGAGGCCGAGGUGGGCAGAUCACGAGGUCAGGAGAUCAAGACCAUCCUGGCUAACACAGUGAAACCCCAUCUCUACUAAAAAUACAAAAAAAUUAGCCAGGCAUGGUGGCGGGUGCCUGUAUUCCCAGCUACUUGGGAGGCUGAGGCAGGAGAAUGGCGCGAACCCAGGGGGCGGAGCUUGCAGUGAGCUGUAAUUGUGCCACUGCACUCCAGCCUGGGCGACAGAGCGAGACUCCGUCUCAAAAAAAAAAAAAAAAACCACAACAACAACAACAAAAAUUCCAUGUUGACAAGGAUGGGAAUAUGAGAACAUGGAAACAGCUAUGAAAAGACAUAAGAGAAUUAGGAGGAUUUUCUUUAAUAUAUCAUUUUUUAAAAAAAAACUUGCUUGUAUUUGUUUAUUUUUUAAAUAGAGACAGGGUUUUACCAUGUUGCCCAGACUAGUCUUGAACUCCUGGGCUCAAGCGAUCUUGGCCUCCCUAAGUGCUGGGAUUACAGUCAUGAGCCACUGUGCCCCGCCAUUUUUUAAUAAACCUUUCUAAUGGAACAAGUAAAACACAUGCAGUGGAUGCUCAGCAGGCCUUGAGUGUGUGAAUGAAAAAUAUUUGAACUUGUUUUUACUGGUUGAUUUCAUUGCUUAAAAAACAUACCUUAGCUGGACGCAGUGGCGUGCGCCUGUAGUCCCAGCUACUCAUCUCUUAAAAAAAAAGUUUUAUGCUUGUUAAUUUCAUAAAUGCUAGAGGGAUCACCCUAAUCAAAUAAAGCUACUCAAAAAUAAAAUAUGAAAGGUGUUAGUGGGAUACAGCUUUCUAGUUUUUUGCCACUAGUGGAUAGGUUGGAAUUUAAAUUCUUCGGAUAUUGGAACCAGAACAGGCUGUAACUGAUUAUUUUUGCUGUGAUUCGUGCUUACUGGAGCCUCGGGAAAGAGGGAGACAACAUGUAAAGAGAAGCAAUCUGUUUGGAAAAUGAAAAUACAGUUAAAUUGCUAAUGAACCCUUGUCAAAAUCAAAUGUCUCCCCUUAGAGGCUGAUGAUUGUCUAGUCUAAUAUGCAUUUUUUUUGAGUGGGUCAAUUGGACUCUAAGACCAACAAGAUAAAAAGGCAGCCUUGCAUGUCACUUGGACCACAGCUGUCUGGCCAUGCAGCAUGCCUUCACUGCUGCUGAAGAAAAGCAGCUGCUUGUUGAGAAUCUCAAAUUCUCAGAUCCUAAUUGCCUGGCCCUGACUCUAAGCUGAAACCUGCUACUGUCUGCCUUGAGCUGUUUUAGCCUCAACACGAGCUAUGCUGAACUGAAAGCAGGCACAGGCUCAAUGACCAGGACUCAGACGUUGGGGCCGUUGGAGAUUAAGGACCCCCUCCGUGGAGCGCUAAACUAUGAAAACGUCCUGGAACCUGGCUGAAAAGGGCUUAUUCUCUAAUGGGACCAUCUAAGAUCAAGCUGCUGAUAGGCUCUUUGUCUCUAAUACAGAGGCUAAUUGCAUUCCUAACUUCUAAUAUUUGCCAAACGCUCCAAGCUGGGGAAGGGCACAUCGCAAGGACUAUGACCUCUCCUCCUGCUUUUGACAGACCAGACUCAAACCUUCUCUGGGGCUUCUCUCACUGCUGUUGACUUGUUGCAUUCAGCUUUUGGGAUUAGUUGCAGCUUGCAACAGUGGACUGACAGCCUGACUCUACUUCCCUCACUUUUCUCCCAGCACACACAGCUUAGUAAGGUAGGUGGAUUAUUAAAACGUAGCUGUCCCCAGAAAGGUAUUAGGCUUUUCUAGUCUGCUCAUUGAAUAAUCAGGACAAAAGGGGUAGAAGAUUAUGUAAACACAUUUUGAAAUUUUUAAAAAUUCAGGGUUUCAUCCUUUAUUAGUUUGCUAAGGAUACCAUAACAAAGUACCACAAACUGAGUGACUUACACAAUAGAAACUUAUUUUCCUGCAGUUCUGGAGGCUGAAAGUCCAGGACAAGGUGUCGACAGCUUUAGAUUCUUCUGAGGCCUCUCUGCUUGGCUUGCAGAUGGCUGCCUUCUUACUGUGUCCUUGUAUGGUCCCUCUGUCUGGGUGUCUGUGUCCUAAUCUUCUCUUUUAAUAAGGAUACCACUCAGGUUGGAUUAGGGCCCAUCCUAACAAUCCCAUUUUAACUUAGUUACCUCUUCAGGGCCUAUCUUCAAAUAUACUCACAUUUUGAGGUACAGGUAGAUGGUUAGGGCUUCAGCAUGAAUUUUUGUGGGGACAUAAUUCAACCCUCCACACAUAAUUACCAAUUUCUGAAUGUCUUUCUGGUUAAGUUGCAUAAAAACGUUUAUCUACUUGAACUCUAGGAUGAUAGUUAAAAAAAAAAAUGUUGGCCAGGCGCAGUGAUGGAUGCAUAUGAUCCCAGCACUUUGGGAGGCCGAGGUGGGCAGAUUGCUUGAGUUCAGGAGUUCAAGACCAGCCUGGCAACAUGGUGAAAUCCUGUGUCUACAAAAAAUGCAAAAAUUAGCUGGACAUGAUGGCAUGUGCCUUUGGUUCCAGCUACUUAGGAGGCUGAGGUAGGAGGAUGGCUUGAGCCCAGGAGGCGGAGGUUGCAGUGAGCCAAAAUCGUGCCACCGCACUCUAGCCUGGGCAACAGAGCCAGACCAUAUCUCAAAAAAAAAAAAAAAAAAGUUUAUCUACAAAAAUGCUUUUGUGCCUCUUACAUACAACCCUUCCAGAGGAAAGGCCUAGCUGAGAGUAAGAGAUGGUUGAAAAAAUGCAAUGUUAUGAUUGCUGAACAGGGCACGACUGUUUUUGUAAUAUUGGAGAAAAUAAUUAAAGCCUGGCACCUGGGGAGGCUUGAUCCCUGGAAGCCUCCUCUUGCUGAAGGAAAAUUCCCAGUGCUGCCUUUCCAUGUGCUGUGAGUGCUUUGAGUUCAGACUGACAACAGAGUGGGUCUAGCUUCUAUGCUUUCCAUGAAGAUCUCCCACAAAUGUCAUCCAUGCUCAUGAGAUGGAUCAACUUGUAUCCUGAACAAGCAAAACUGUUUGGGACUCACUGCCUUCAGGCAGUCCCUUGGAAGCCAAGGACUCUGGGAACUUUUCAGAUGGGACUGGAAACACUUGGGCAGGAGUUCCCCUGGUAGGAGGUCUGUUCACCUGUACAGCCUAAUGGAUGUCCUGCUUGAGGUGCCCUAAUAUUGCAAAUUCUUUGUUUACAGGGGUACCACCUGUGCCCCUGGGACUGUGCUUCUGUACAUGACCACAACUCUCAUGAUGUCCCCUCAGCCCUGGAAAGCAUUUGGGUUAGCUUCCGCUUACUGGUCAGAGUUAUACUGUGCCUGAAUUGAUGCCUCAGGUCAGGUUGAAAAAAAAAAAAAAGGUUCAGACAGCAAUUAAGGGCUGGGCACGGUGGCUCAUGCCUGUAAUCCCGGCACUUUGGGAGGCUGAGGUGGGCAGAUCACCUGAGGUCAGGAGUUUGAGACCAGCCUGACCGACAUGGUGAAAAGUAAAAAUACAAAAAUAAAAAAAUUAGCUGGGUGUGGUGGUGUGCACCUGUAGUCCCUACAAAAAUAAAAAAAUUAGCUGGGUGUGGUGGUGUGCACCUGUAGUCCCAGCUACUCGGGAGGCUGAGGCAGGAGAAUCGCUUGAACCCAGGAGGUGGAGGCUGCAGUGAGCCAAGAUCACGCCACUGCACUCCAGCCUGGGUGACAGAGCAAGACUCCAUCUCAACAACAACAACAAAAAGGAAUUAAGGAGGAAGCCACCUGGCUUCCUAAGAUAGACUUUAUGGUUAAUGGGAUUUAUUUUAGCUGGUUAAGUCCAGGACCCCUACCAGGAAGAACUGAGGUCCAUAUUUGAGGUUGGUCUCACCCUUUUGCAUGUGGUCCUACUAAUAAUAAUUUUGCUGUAAAGAAGCCUCAAUAAGGAGAUGGACUGUGUGAAAAGAGAUGAGAAAGCAGGCCUGUUUGCAAGGCUGGCCCUUGGCUGGCAUCUGAAAGCUUGGAUUUCAGGAGGGUUCUCAUUACUCCCUAAAUGAUAAGAGUGGCUCACUGUGCCUAAACUGUUCGUACAAACAAUGUGGGUUAUGCCCAACAUCUGCUUUCCUUCUGGGAGUCAGAUUUUCAUAUGUGUUAGGCAGAGGAUGAGGUGAGCAGCUCCCAAUGAGAACCCUGAACACUGAGUCUGUAAUGAGCUUCCCUUGUAUACAACAUUGCACAUGGGUUGUCACAACUGAUUGCUGGAGGAAUUGUGUCCUAUGUGACUCUGCUGGGAGAGGACUGUGGGAGGCUUACACCUGGUUUCCCUGGACUUUGUCCAUGCGCUUUUUUCCUUUGCUGAUUUUGCUUCCUAGCCUUUCGCUGUAGUAAAACAUAGCCAUGAGUAUGACUACAGGCUGAGUCUGUGAAUCUCCUAGUACAUCAUCAGACUAGGAGGUGGUGGUGUUGGCACCCCCCAGCACAGGGCACAAGGGAGACUUGCAGGGUGUUUGUCAUGUUCCCUUUCUCAAUCUGGGUGUGGUUUACAGAUUUGUUCAGUUUGUGAAAAUUCACUGAGCUCUAUGAACAAUUAUAAUAUGUACAUUUUUUUCUGUAAGUGUAUUAAAUUUCAAUAAAAAGAAUUCACACUAUAGGGGUACAAAAUAA